UGGUCAAGUUAUUAAGGUUGCAGGGCGGAUGCCUUGGCACUAGGAGCCGAUGAAGGACGUGAUAAGCUGCGAUAAGCUUCGGGGAGUUGCACGUAAACUUUGAUCCGAAGAUUUCCGAAUGAGGAAACUCACUUAGAGUAAUGUCUAAGUAUCAUUAAGUGAAUACAUAGCUUAAUGAGGGGAACUCAGGGAACUGAAACAUCUAAGUACCUGAAGGAAGAGAAAGAAAUUCGAUUCCGUAAGUAGCGGCGAGCGAACGCGGAUUAGCCCAAACCAAUAAAGUUUUCUUUAUUGGGGUUGCGGACAUAUCAUAACGAAGAGGUAUCGUAAUUGAAGAGGUUUGGAAAGACCCACCACAGAAGGUAAUAGUCCUGUAUGUUAAACGAGAAGACUU
This 394-nucleotide ribosomal RNA is filed under the name Clostridioides difficile. RNAcentral describes it as "bacterial LSU rRNA". It matches the Rfam family "Bacterial large subunit ribosomal RNA", at positions 1 to 395 of the family's 2925-position model. Lineage: Bacteria; Bacillati; Bacillota; Clostridia; Peptostreptococcales; Peptostreptococcaceae. The record is from RNAcentral.